UGGGGGAUAUUGCACAAUGGAGGAAACUCUGAUGCAGCAACGCCGCGUGAGGGAAGAAGGUCUUCGGAUUGUAAACCUUUGUCCUUGGUGACGAUAAUGACGGUACCGGAGGAGGAAGCCACGGCUAACUACGUGCCAGCAGCCGCGGUAAUACGUAGGUGGCAAGCGUUGUCCGGAUUUACUGGGCGUAAAGGGAGCGUAGGUGGAUAUUUAAGUGGGAUGUGAAAUACUCGGGCUUAACCUGGGUGCUGCAUUCCAAACUGGAUAUCUAGAGUGCAGGAGAGGAAAGUAGAAUUCCUAGUGUAGCGGUGAAAUGCGUAGAGAUUAGGAAGAAUACCAGUGGCGAAGGCGACUUUCUGGACUGUAACUGACACUGAGGCUCGAAAGCGUGGGGAGCAAACAGG
This 404-nucleotide ribosomal RNA is filed under the name uncultured prokaryote. RNAcentral describes it as "bacterial SSU rRNA". It matches the Rfam family "Bacterial small subunit ribosomal RNA", at positions 355 to 776 of the family's 1533-position model. RNAcentral also lists the same sequence under 1 other name. The record is from RNAcentral.